UCCGAUAGCUCGACUCCCUCAACUGGAGACACUGUGUCUGGGCUCGAGCCCUCCGUAUUGUAAGGCCCAUUUUUGGGGGGCCUCACACGGGAGCGUUCCCCACACAUCUCCUUCAGGUUCU
This is a long non-coding RNA of Cebus imitator (Panamanian white-faced capuchin), 121 nucleotides long. RefSeq lists it as uncharacterized. The record is from RefSeq and is a predicted model, not a curated record. The transcript has 3 exons. NCBI's taxonomy places the organism in Eukaryota, Metazoa, Chordata, Mammalia, Primates, Cebidae.